RNAcentral lists this ribosomal RNA (495 nucleotides) under uncultured bacterium. RNAcentral describes it as "partial 16S ribosomal RNA". It matches the Rfam family "Bacterial small subunit ribosomal RNA", at positions 28 to 507 of the family's 1533-position model. The record is from RNAcentral.
GACGAACGCUGGCGGCGUGCCUAAUACAUGCAAGUAGAGCGCUGAAGGAGGAGCUUGCUUCUCUGGAUGAGUUGCGAACGGGUGAGUAACGCGUAGGUAACCUGCCUGGUAGCGGGGGAUAACUAUUGGAAACGAUAGCUAAUACCGCAUAAGAGUAGAUGUUGCAUGACAUUUGCUUAAAAGGUGCAAUUGCAUCACUACCAGAUGGACCUGCGUUGUAUUAGCUAGUUGGUGGGGUAACGGCUCACCAAGGCGACGAUACAUAGCCGACCUGAGAGGGUGAUCGGCCACACUGGGACUGAGACACGGCCCAGACUCCCACGGGAGGCAGCAGUAGGGAAUCUUCGGCAAUGGACGGAAGUCUGACCGAGCAACGCCGCGUGAGUGAAGAAGGUUUUCGGAUCGUAAAGCUCUGUUGUAAGAGAAGAACGAGUGUGAGAGUGGAAAGUUCACACUGUGACGGUAUCUGACCAGAAAGGGACGGCUAACUACGUG